CUUCGCGCCCCAGCCGCCCCAUGGACGGACUACAAGUCCCAGCAGGUUGUGCGGCCCGCGCAAGCGCGGGAGGGCCACGCCGCUCCGGCCCCCCGCAGCCGCUCGUGGGUCCCUGCGGAGCUGUCGCCGCGGCCUGGCUGGCGGCCUGGGGCUCUCGGGAGCUCUGUAGCGGAGAGGAAGGCGGCCGAGGGAAAAGCGAGCUUAGUGCAGCUCUUGUUGAGGCGUGGAGCUACAGGCGGCUGCAAGACCCUCUGGGCCAACCCUCUGUUUGCCCGGUUUGCAGAGGGAAACUGAGGCGGGGGCAAGGGCGCGCAGGAUUGCCUUUCCCCUCGUGAGCAGGGUAGGAUUCGGGCACGGGGCUCCUGACUCCAGGUCUAAGGCCGCACACCCCAGGCUCUGGCGCGCCGCCCCGGCUGGCGCCUUGGUCUGGCUCGACUGGCGCCCGGGGAGGGGGCGCGUCCCACGCCAGGGCAGUCCGGGCCCAGCCCCCGCUGUGACCGACUGCCCUCUGUGACGUCAGGUGCCCAGCACAGGGCGUGGGUCCGGGUACACGAGAGGGAAGGCCCCUGGGUGGGAGCAGGCUGAUCCCCCUGGGUGCCUGGUACUGACAAAUGCUGGGCUGUAGGGGUGCAGAGGGCCUGGCUGGAGGAGCAUUCAGGAGGCAGAAUCUCCCCGACCUGGUGCUGCAUAGGGAGGAGGGGCCGGGGCUAUUUGGAGAUGCUGUCAACAGGGACGAGGGCUGGCGGCAGAAAAUGCGGAGUCUGCAUGGAAUACUGAGCAUCCGAGUUUCCGUUCAGAGGCCACCAUCCCUCCGCCAUGUGGCCCCAGUAAGAAGUCCCCCACGGACUUCCCAGUAAGCUGGCCCCAGCUCCGAAGGUUCUGACGGGUCUAAGGGUGACCCCAUCCCCCUGGAGACAAAGAUCAGCUACACCAGACAGCAGCCAGCAUUCCCUGGACACAGGACUUUCUCCAGGAACGGCAUACGACCCAGUUCAGAGCAAUGGGAUGUGAGUGGUGGCUUGCUGAGGAAUGCUGGAGAGGAUGCUCCUCCCGUUUAGGAGAGAAGAUCCCCUGUCUCCUGGUCUGGAUGUACACCACUGACAGCUGUUGCAAUUUUGUUUCCACACUGACAACCUGAGAAGGAAGCCAGCACCGAGAGGAAAUCGUGGAGAAGUGGGGCCAGAGCCCCUGGAUCGAGCCAAACCUGAGGCCCAUCUACCUCUGGACUUCCAGGUCCAUGAGCCAAAGAAGCCCUUAUUUGAGCCACUUGGACUUGAGUUUUUUGUUGUUUAUGACACCCUAAAACCCCCAAGCCGUCAGUGUUGGGAGGCCUCCUGAGGAAGAGGUCUCAGACCAAGGGUCCCAUUUUGCAUCAAGGAAUGUGUGACAUUGACCCCCAGACCAUGGGUUCUGCUUGUCCUGCCACAAACCACAUCUCUGGGAAGCUGCCAGCUGACAGAAUGCCGCCCCCCCCCCCCCCCCCAAGCCUCAGCACAGGGACUGUCCACUGCGGGUCUGGGCUGUUUUCCAGGAUGCAGCAUGUGCACUGAACCAACGGGCAGUGCGCCGAGUCCAGAACAAGGGGUCAAAGCGCCAUAGAUCUCCGGGGGAGCAAGCCCCAGGAGUCUGCAGGGGUGGCCCACUCGAUAAUGCCACCGUCGUCGCUGCCCUCCGCCUGCGGCCCUCUCCUCUGCCCCACUCCUGUCCCUGGGGUCACUUUCACAGUCGACUUCCUCCUCAAAGCCCUGUCUGCCUUUCCGGAGUGAGUGGGGCUGGGGAGGGAGACCGGGCCACGACAGGGAGGGUCAGGGAGCCAGCAGAAGGAGAGGGGGCUGCCAAGGCUGGUGGGGCCCGUCCUGGAGGAGCCGUGAAUGCCAGGCACAGAUCCGGCAGCUGGGCUUCUUGGAAUGCUAGCCAAGCAAGAGGCUGAGUCUCAGGCCUGAGCCAUUCGAGGAACUGCAGCUGUGGACUGGACCUGAGAGAGACAGAGACGACAGAGACCCCGGCCAUCACACAGGCACAGGGAG
Molecule: long non-coding RNA, 2027 nt
Organism: Equus caballus (horse)
Lineage: Eukaryota; Metazoa; Chordata; Mammalia; Perissodactyla; Equidae
Source: Ensembl